This is a long non-coding RNA of Lates calcarifer (barramundi perch), 1504 nucleotides long. RefSeq lists it as uncharacterized. The transcript has 5 exons. The record is from RefSeq and is a predicted model, not a curated record. NCBI's taxonomy places the organism in Eukaryota, Metazoa, Chordata, Actinopteri, Centropomidae.
AAAACUGUCAAAAAAUAUCAUAGUGUAGUGAGGUGUCAAAAAUGUCAGUAUAGUAAAGUGCCAAAAAAUAUAGUAGUGUAAGGCGCCAAAAAAUGUCAUAGUAUAGUAAGGUGUCAAAAACUGUCAAAAAAUGUCAUAGUGUAGUAUGGCGUUGAAAACUGUCAAAAAAAUGUCAUAGUAUAGUAAGGUGUCAAAAACUGUCAAAAAAUAUCAUAGUGUAGUAAGGCGUCAAAAAAUGUCAUAGUAUAGUAAGGUGUCAAAAACUCUCAAAAAAUGUCAUAGUAUAGUAUGGUGUCAAAAACUGUCAAAAAAUAUCAUAGUAUAGUAAGGUGUCAAAAACUCUCAAAAAAUGUCAUAGUGUAGUAAGGUGUCAAAAACUGUCAAAAAAUGUCAUAGUAUAGUAAGGUGCCAAAAAAUAUAGUACUGUAAGGCAUCAAAAAAUGUCAUAGUAUAGUAAGGUGUCAAAAACUCAAAAAAUGUCAUAGUGUAGUAAGGCGUUGAAAACUGUCAAAAAAAUGUCAUAGUACAGUAAGGUGUCAAAAAAUGUUAUAAUUUAGUAAGGUGUCAAAAACUGUCAAAAAAUAUCAUAGUGUAGUGAGGUGUCAAAAAAUGUCAGUAUAGUAAGGUGCCAAAAAAUAUAGUAGUGUAAGGUGUCAAAAACUGUCAAAAAAUGUCAUAGUGUAGUAAGGCGUUGAAAACUGUCAAAAAAAAUGUCAUAGUAUAGUAAGGUGCCAAAAAAUAUAGUACUGUAAAGCGUCAAAAAAUGUCAUAGUAUAGUAAGGUGUCAAAAACUCAAAAAAUGUCAUAGUGUAGUAUGGCGUUGAAAACUGUCAAAAAAAUGUCAUAGUACAGUAAGGUCAAAAAAUGUUAUAAUAUAGUAAGGUGUCAAAAACUGUCAAGAAAUGUCAUAAUAUAUUAAGGUGCCAAAAAAUAUAGUACUGUAAGGCGUCAAAAAAUGUCAUAGUAUAGUAAGGUGUCAAAAACUGUCAAAAAAUAUCAUAGUGUAGUAAGGCGUCAAAAAAUAUCAUAGUACAGUAAGGUGUCAAAAAAUGUUAUAAUAUAGUAAGGUGUCAAAAACUGUCAAAAAAUGUCAUGGUGUAGUGAGGUGUCAAAAAAUGUCAGUAUAGUAAGGCACCAAAAAAUGUCAUAGUAUAGUAAGGUGUCAAAAACUGUCAAAAAAUGUCAUAGUAUAGUAAGGUGCCAAAAAAUAUAGUACUGUAAGGCGUCAAAAAAUGUCAUAGUAUAGUAAGGUGUCAAAAACUGUCAAAAAUAUCAUAGUGUAGUAAGGCGUUGAAAACUGUCAAAAAAAAUGUCAUAGUACAGUAAGGUGUCAAAAAAUGUCAUAGUAUAGUAAGGUGUCAAAAACUGUCAAAAAAAUGUCAUAGUAUAGUAAGGUGUCAAAAAAUGUUAUAAUAUAGUAAGGUGUCAAAAACUGUCAAAAAAUGUCAUAGUACAGUAAGGUGUCAAAAACUGUCAAAAAAUGUCAUGGUGUAAUGAGGUGUCA